GCAGAUUUAAAGGUAUAAACACCAUACAUAUUUUCUCCAUCACUAUUGGUCAUUUUAGAAACGGAUAUAAUUAUUAUACUACCAACUAAAGCCAUAUUACAGUGAACCAGUUCCUGAACAUACUACCCUGAAGGUACUACUGUCUCUUAUUCCUUUGGACAGGUUUGGGUGUAUCCCUGUCCUGGUUCAGUAUUGAGCUAUUCACUUCGAGUCGGACUCCCUCAUCUCUGUGUAUUGCACUAGGCAGACCAGAUUUAAAUUAUAGUUUUUAUGAUGCUUGCAGUGCUCUUUUGAGUGAAUAAUUUUGGGGAUGCUAAAAAUAUAAAGUAUAGUUCCACUCAAACCCUUUAAACAGUAAUGCUAUAAUAAUUUUGUCAUAUAUGGACUAAUUAGCACGAUAAUAUUUUUUUCGCAAUAGAAUUGUGUUUUAAAUGACAUUUCUCAAGGAAAUGUUAUGUAUUUAACGGCUAGCUAAGCAUUGCAUUACAUAACAUAAAACUACAAUAGCUAGAAUGUCAGAGUAAAGUUUGCUAUAAAAGCCUACAUUUGUGUCUUAGGGCAUUCAAGAGAAACCCCAAGUUAGUAAAUGGAAUUGGGGAGUUAGAAUAAAUAGCAUGAUUAUGGAAUUAUGUGUAAAGAAUAAAUAACAUAGCUUUGGCAAUGAACACAUGCAUGAAUCAGCUUCUAAAAGUAGAGCAAUCGCCAUGGAGAACGCUUUUCUUGCGGAUUGUUGUACUGGUAACAUUGGCAAAGAAGUGCUCUUUACACAGGCAUCAUACUUUUAAAUUCUGCUCCAAUAUGUAUAUAUAUAUAUAUAUAUAUAUAGAAAGUGUUAAAACAGAAAAAUAUCACAUACUUGUGGAUGAGUUGCUAUAUGCAGAAGCUUGAGGCUGAGUGAGUAAUAGCUGAACAUUAAAAGGACUUGAUACCAUGGGAUUUUAAACAGCAUCAUGCAAUGGCGUCAGCUGGCAUGCAGUAAGAACUACACAAGAUGCUAAAUGUUUUAAACCCUGUGGUUUCUCAUCUGUUAUUUAAGCCUUCCCUCAGCAAUACGCAAGAUGAAUAAACAAAAUUUGAAUGUCUUUCCUUUUUUUUUGGCAUUUGCAGAUUAAAAAUAUUUUAGGAUAUUUCCUAAAUAUUAAUUAACUUUUUAAUGGUUGCCCAUGAACAACUGAAAGCAAAAGAAAGCAGUAUUGUCAGCUAUAAAUUAUGCAUAAUGCUCUUAUGUUCAACCAGCCCAAAGCUGGCAUAGCAUAUUGGGAGUCAUUUCAUGGCAGCCAAGGAUUUAUUCACUAAACAUUUAUUUUCAUGAGUUUACAAUGGUGUUGGAAAAUCUAAGCAGCUGAAUUGGAUGCACAAAAUACUUACAAGGAAAGUAUCAAAAUUGCUAUUUAUUAAAUUAACAUAUAUUCAAUUUCUUUCCCUCCGAUAAAAUAAAUCAAUGAAGUGAUCAACAACAGGGAAAUUGUUACAAAACUAACAUGGUUACAUUUAAUAGUUAAAUAAAUAACAAUUGGUGUUGGAUGUCUGCUUUUCAAAUUAUUAUGCCAUGAUGGGGGUAAUUUGAAUUGAGGGCUUGCUAGUUCACCCUGAAUUAAAAAUUGGACUAGAAAAUCAAUACAAAAAUGUAAAUGUUAUGUCCUGUCUUGACCGUGCAACUUUCCAACAGACCGCCUUAAGGUAUACAUGGGAGGCAUUUAUAUACUGGGGAAUGUAGCAGAAUUUGGGUGUUACAGCAGAACACACAGGUCUGUGAAAUCAACACAAAAUGCAAAGUGUGGCUCUCGUAAUGAUGUGGACGUUUGCACAUGUGUGCACAUAUCGGACGUAAGUAUGCACGAUCGCACCGGAGGGAAGGCAGAGAGAGAUUGCUUGGAGGAAACGGGAACGAUUGUGCGUCUGCAAAGAUAAUGAAAAUGCAAGUGUCAGGACCUACUCUGUCCUGUUAAGAGGUCUGGCCUUGGCUUCCGGUAUCCAGUACUCUUUUUACAAUUCUUGUUUAGUUUUUCUUGGUUUUUCUGGUUUUGUUUAUGCUGGGUUUUCUGGGUUCAUUCCUGUAUUCCGUUCCUUGAAUUCCCAGUAUCUUGGAUUCCUUUAAAUGUUUGUUUUAUGUUGCCACACCUGUUCCUUUUCCAUUUAUCCUUUUUGUUUCAGUUGGUUCCUGCUGGCAGUUGCUCCAAGUCCUCUGCCCUUUCUUGCAGGUAAGUGCUGUGUGUGUUUUAUUGUUUAUUUAGUCAUGCAUAUCUGGGUAGAUAGGAACCCACCGUAAUUGGAGGACUUUGACGCAGUGGUGGGCUGCAUACAUCUUGGCCAUUUAUGUAUGUCUAAAUCUCUAAAUGUUUUACAUAUAUAGUACUUAGGUUUGUCUCCUCUUGUUUUGCCUAGUAUAUCUUGUCUUGUUUUAUAUUGUAUUCCCAGUCCAUGUACAGUCCUGUCCUGCCCCUGUUCUGUUAAUGUUUCCCUUAUGUAUUGUGGGUUUACCUUUCUAUCCUUCUCUGGUUCUGGAUUCUACUAGUUUUGUCUUGUUUUAUUGUUUGGUGUCUAUCCUAGUCUUGCCUUGUUUCUAGUACUGGAUACAUCUCAGCAUAUUUCUGCUCUGACAUCCGCUAAGCUGUAACAGGGUCUUGUUAUGUGGCCGCAAAAACGCUGGUGCUCAACACCAGGGGGCAUGCAGUUACCCUGCACCAGGUCCUACGUAUCCACUACCACGCUGAAGACUCCCAAUCAACUACAUCAGGCACAGGGGUCCAGUCUAGAGACUGCCUCCCGUGACAGCAAGUCCCUUGGUAACCCAAUUUGCAACUUCUGGGAGCAUGGAGGAGCGUGGGGAAGGAGAAAUCUAGCCACACACAGGCUGAAGCCCUCUGAACCACGGAGGUACCCAUGUUGUUAGAAUGCCAUGUUGUAAAAGCUCUCCUUACAAAACUGAUCACAUUAGUCACUAAAGUGAUUUAAUGUUCAGAAAGGACAUACCUAUAAGGUGAGAUAAAUCAUGUGGAUUACUGAAAUUUCCAAAAUAAGUCAGAAUUUAACUUAUUUCCUUUUUCUCUGAUUGGGGCAGAGUUAUUAAUUAUUAUUUUUUUAAUUCUUUAUUAUUCUCUGCCCAUCGCCUUGGAAGGGACAAAUUGUAGUGUGACGAGACCAAUCUCGCCACAUUGCAUUGGAGAAGCCUGGUUGCUCGCCUGCUGCCUUUGGACUAUGGCCCCCUUUUAAAAGACUUUAUUUUUGCCUGCAGAAAAGCUGUAUUCGUGCUUUUCUGCCUGGGGUUCAGUAGAUUUGUUUGAAUGUGUUAUACCCCAGAUAGGAAUCCCAUGGAGCCCAUUUGUAUGAAACUGACUGUAAAGACUUUGGCUCCAUGGCGAUUGAACUGUAUUCGUGUAGUCUGAGUGCCAUUCACCUAAU
RNAcentral lists this long non-coding RNA (3402 nucleotides) under Pelobates cultripes (western spadefoot toad). Lineage: Eukaryota; Metazoa; Chordata; Amphibia; Anura; Pelobatidae. The record is from RNAcentral.